RNAcentral lists this ribosomal RNA (498 nucleotides) under uncultured bacterium. Its description in RNAcentral is "partial 16S ribosomal RNA". It matches the Rfam family "Bacterial small subunit ribosomal RNA", at positions 28 to 523 of the family's 1533-position model. The record is from RNAcentral.
GAUGAACGCUAGCGGCAGGCCUAAUACAUGCAAGUCGAACGGGAUCGGGGAGCUUGCUCCCCAUGAGAGUGGCGCACGGGUGCGUAACGCGUGAGCAACCUGCCCGUCCCAGGGGGAUAGCCCGUUGAAAGACGGAUUAACACCGCAUGACGUAGUUAACUGGCAUCAGUAUACUACCAAAUAUUUAUAGGGGACGGAUGGGCUCGCGUGACAUUAGCUGGUUGGAGAGGUAACGGCUAACCAAGGCGACGAUGUCUAGGGGCUCUGAGAGGGGAAUCCCCCACACUGGUACUGAGACACGGACCAGACUCCUACGGGAGGCAGCAGUAAGGAAUAUUGGUCAAUGGGCGGAAGCCUGAACCAGCCAUGCCGCGUGCAGGAAGACGGCCCUACGGGUUGUAAACUGCUUUUGUACGGGAAUAAUUCCUAUUAUGUAUAAUAGGUUGAAUGUACCGUAAGAAUAAGGAUCGGCUAACUCCGUGCCAGCCGCCGCGGUAA